UUCCUAUGGUUACUCGUUCAAAACAGAGCUUGCGUUUAUCUGCUUCUUUGUCAUCAAUUCAAUCAAACUUUCCGUCGGGAAAUUUUCCGUCUCCAAUUCCAAAAAUGUCGUCGUGCUGCGGUGGUAAAUGUGGUUGCGGGUCCGGCUGCAGCUGCGGCAGUGGCUGCAACGGGUGUGGGAUGGCUCCUGAUCUGAGCUACAUGGAGGGGUCCACCACUGAGACCCUCGUGAUGGGAGUUGCUCCCCAGAAGUCUCACAUGGAGGCAUCUGAGAUGGGAGUUGCUGCCGAGAACGGAUGCAAGUGUGGAGACAACUGCACCUGCAACCCCUGCAACUGCAAGUGAGAGGGACAGAUGGCACCUUCUGAUGAAGCAAGAGAAUCGCGGGGCUUAUAUGUUUAGCAGUAAUAUAUGUAUGUGUGUGUGUCGUAAUCAUGAAUCAUGAUCCAAAUUUACGAAGGUCGUGUUUUUAGAAUAAAGUGGCCAUGGCUUCUUCUGAGCUGCACGUCCUACUAGGCUGGGAUCUGGUCCUAGGUUAUGGCUGCUUGUUGUCUGUUUGCUUUGUACAUGCAGUAGUCGUAUUUGUGUUUUUAUGUUCGUGUUAACUUGGUGGAUCGUAUUAUGUGUUUCUGAUGAAAUUAAUGAAAAACUUGCUCCAUCUUUUGCUUUAA
Molecule: non-coding RNA, 670 nt
Organism: Malus domestica (apple)
Lineage: Eukaryota; Viridiplantae; Streptophyta; Magnoliopsida; Rosales; Rosaceae
Source: RefSeq, a predicted model, not a curated record